This is a long non-coding RNA of Priapulus caudatus, 402 nucleotides long. RefSeq lists it as uncharacterized. Lineage: Eukaryota; Metazoa; Priapulida; Priapulimorpha; Priapulimorphida; Priapulidae. The record is from RefSeq and is a predicted model, not a curated record. The transcript is spliced from 4 exons.
GGGACCACCCAAAAAAUAUUAACAGACCUGGGAAAGGAAUUCAUCAAUGCAAUCAACAAAGACAUAUGCAAGACCUUAAACAUCCGUCAUUUGAUGACCGCAGCUUAUCAUCCCCAAACCAAUGGGUUGGACGAGAAAACUAACAGCAACAUAAAGAAAAUACUGGAAAAGCUUGUGAAUGAGAAUCAAGACAAUUGGGAUGUGGUACUAGAUGCGGCACUUUUUGCAUUACGAGGCAAACCGCAGCAUUCUACAAAGUUCUCACCAUUCUACCUCAUGCAUCACAGAGAGGCUCGCUUUCCAGUUGAGGUGGAAGACAGUGACAUAGAGGUGCAUAACUCGCUAGUUUUUUAAUCACAAGUGCAAGUUGUAACAUUAAUUAAGUGUGUAGGGUCGUGCUGA